This is a long non-coding RNA of Cimex lectularius (bed bug), 820 nucleotides long. RefSeq lists it as uncharacterized. The record is from RefSeq and is a predicted model, not a curated record. The transcript is spliced from 4 exons. NCBI's taxonomy places the organism in Eukaryota, Metazoa, Arthropoda, Insecta, Hemiptera, Cimicidae.
AGGUCUUCGCUUCAUAUGACAAGAAAAAAUAAAUAAUUAUAACAAUUACAUAAAAUUAAAUCACAUCAGUAUAAUAUUUACAUUAGCCUAGACAAAUUCCAAACAGGGAUGGGUACCGUCAGCUCGAUGCAGGGCAAAUAUUGUUCAAGCACAUUGUGCGAACAGAAAACCGGCCAAGGAGAGUCAGCGUAUUUUUUUAGGGACAUGAAACUAGUCCAGCACAAUUUAAAACAUCCGAAAAUCAACGUUGAGCGUCUAAUGUUGAAGCACAAUCCAUCGUAUAUUCCAUUUCUGCCAACACCGAAUCAGCGAUGUAACGCGUUUGUAGACAGGCCGUUAUUCAAUUCAAAUCUGAUUUCUGAUUCUUCAAGUAGGCUUACGUUAGCAUGGCAAGGUUCCGGUGAUCCCCCUUUUCUAUGAAAAAGACAAAAUCAUACACCAACUACUCCUACAAUUAGCAGCAAACUAUCGGAUUUAACUGUCCUUUGUUUUCGAGGCAAACAUGGCAACCGAAAUCGUCCACGACGAUGAACGAUGACGGGAAAAUCUUGGAUCGAUGGGAGGCGAUGAGAAAUAAAUCGCGAACGAAACUACCAUUUGUACAAAUGAGAAGAGGUGAACAAUGUCUAAAGAUUCCGUUGUAAUAUACAAAACAACAGUGGACGUUAACUAAAAUAUAUAUUUACUUAAUUAACGAUAAGUUGAAUUUUAAAAAUAACACUAAGAAGUGACGAUCGCUUCUUAUGAUCGAUCUAUUUCAACUUCCAUCUUCUAACUCAGUGUUCUGGUACUCAAAUAAAUAAAUACAAAUGUUUUAAAA